CACAAGCAUAGUUAAAGAAUUGUCAUCUGUUAUGAAGAAUCUUAAAAUUUUUUUUUAGGCCGUUUGCUUUUAUCUUUUGUUUUACUUAGCGGCGGUGUCAACCUUCGGGUUGGUUAUCGCCCGUCUUUUUCCUCACCAAUUAACCUUUUUUUUUUCUUCUUCUCAUUCAUUAUACAUGUCUUUUCUCUUUUCGAUUUGCAGAUCUAUUUUGUGGGUAUAUUUGUUGUCUUCACAAGUUAUGAUGGACAGAUGAUAGUGCAUAUCGUUCGCUAAAACUCCACCGACC
Molecule: long non-coding RNA, 286 nt
Filed under: Gossypium raimondii (Peruvian cotton)
Lineage: Eukaryota; Viridiplantae; Streptophyta; Magnoliopsida; Malvales; Malvaceae
Description: long non-coding RNA (GRAI_LNC000332)
Source: RNAcentral